AACCCCAAUUUGACUAUUUCGAGAUUCUCAAGAUGUGGCUGAAUGAUCUUCUUUUCAUGCUCAAGUAGACGAGUAAUCUCGUCAGGAAUCUCUUCAACAUCAUCUUCCUCUGCCUCAAAUAUAGGGAACUCAAAAUUGGGAGAUGGCGUUGGAUCAUUAUGUUCAAUGGGUUUAGAAAUCAACCUGCAUAAUGAUUUUGGAGAUGAAAAGCUUUU
This 215-nucleotide long non-coding RNA is filed under the name Lathyrus oleraceus (garden pea). RNAcentral's name for it is "Pisum sativum (pea) long non-coding RNA (PSAT_LNC013370)". The record is from RNAcentral. Lineage: Eukaryota; Viridiplantae; Streptophyta; Magnoliopsida; Fabales; Fabaceae.